This 396-nucleotide ribosomal RNA is filed under the name Triticum aestivum (bread wheat). RNAcentral's name for it is "partial small subunit ribosomal RNA". The record is from RNAcentral. Lineage: Eukaryota; Viridiplantae; Streptophyta; Magnoliopsida; Poales; Poaceae.
AUGAGGACGACGAAGGGGCGAGAAGAGAGCCGUGUCACUGACGCGGCGGGCCCGCGGCUUUUUCGCGCCAAAAAAGUUCGCCUGGCGCCCCCGGGCGCCCCAGCGCGCCGGGUUCGGCCUGUGUCCGCCGGCGCUGUUUUCGGCUCAGGCCAGCGAAAAUCGGGCUCCUGGGGACGCGACUGGACCGAUUUUUCGGCGCCGGCGCAAGAAAAACGCCUGGGGAGACCUUCCUGGGGCGCGGCUGGAGAUGCCCUAAGUACACAUGCACGCCUACUGGCCCUGGCCCUUGCGGCUUACAUGUGGACCCACACACACACGCUUGGCAUGACAACUGGCCAUGCCAACUGGCAGUCACGCGGUGGUACGCAGCACCGUUGUGACACUUUGACCACAUGA